This 481-nucleotide long non-coding RNA is filed under the name Rosa chinensis. Its description in RNAcentral is "sRNA RchiOBHm_Chr6g0260951". Lineage: Eukaryota; Viridiplantae; Streptophyta; Magnoliopsida; Rosales; Rosaceae. The record is from RNAcentral.
AUGUGGAUAAAGGCCCGGCAAGACAAGAGCGGCAACUUCAAAGGGCCAGCAGUGAAGAAGAAGGUCGAAAAAAUUGUAAGAAAGUUUGAAGAGGAAAGUGUUUGAAGGAGAAAUCAACCCUGAAGGAACAGAUGAUGUUCUGACUUUGGCGUUGGGAAAUCCUGAGUAUCCUGGUAGGGUACGUGGUGUUGGUGGCUUCGUCAAGCCUUCGGCAUAUUUUCAUCUACCUAAACGCCAAAUGCUAAAUGUAGAAGAUAGUGUCAGGGUAAGUGUUAAGAAGAUACUAGCAGAAGAGAAAGAAAAUAUCAUUGCUCAGGAAAGAGCCAAAUGGGAGUUGGAGAUGGAGCAACAAAUUGCUAGGGAAAGAGCCGCUUGGGAGGAAAGGUUUCAGAAGUUAGAAGCGAUGGUUAAUGGGAAAGAGAUGCCAGCUGACUCACCCAAACCUGUGACACCGCUGAAUGAUUUAGGCUCUGGCCAAGGC